Mus musculus (house mouse) is the source of this 904-nucleotide long non-coding RNA. RefSeq annotates it as RIKEN cDNA 5430428K19 gene. The transcript is spliced from 3 exons. The record is from RefSeq and is marked validated. Lineage: Eukaryota; Metazoa; Chordata; Mammalia; Rodentia; Muridae.
AGAGAAGGGGAAAGGCACCCUCCUGAUGGAAGGACACAGAGCUCUGAAGGCCUUUCACUGCUAGACAGCUGACUGAGGAACACUGCAGCCUGGUGAUCCAGGAAACACAGCGGGGGAAAUGGAGCAGAAACUGAAGGAAAGGCCAUCCAGACACCACCCCACCUAGGAAUCCAUCCCAUUUGCAGCUACCAAACCCUAACACUAUUGCUAAUGGCCAAUGGGAAACAAAAACGCCAUAGAGACUGGAGCAUGCAGCAGAAGAUACUUCCAUGGCGGCAAACAAUAAGCAGGCCGAGAGAAAGAAGUUGAGAUCUGGGUAUAAACCUUCAAGGGCUGUUUCCAAUGAUCAACUUUCUCUAUUUCGGUCAGACCUUCAAAAGUUUCCUCUACCUUACGAAAUAGAAUCACCAGCCCAGAAGCAAAGAUUCAAGACUUGGAGAGAGAGAUUUCAGAGUCAAACCACAGCACUGUAUCUUUGUGUUUAACAUUCUGAAGAGCUGCCAACUCUCUUCCAAGGAAACAUACCAUUUCGUAUGUCCACCAACAAUGUAUGAGUGCAUUUGAAUUCUAAUACUCUACCAUUAUCAACAAUACCCAGCUGUAGGGUUUUUUUGUUAUAAUAAUUUUAAAUAUGUGAAAAAUGUUAUAGUGGCUCAGACUCCACUUCCUUAAUGACUAAUGUUACUGAGCUAUUCAUGUGCUUACUGGAUAUUAGCGUAUGCUCUUUGAAGAAAUGCCUAUUCAAAUUCAUACCCUGCCUUUGAAAGCAUGAUUUCACUUAGGAUGUGAGAGUGUUUCCUUACCAUAAUCACUCUGUCUGGCUAAUCUGAAAGGUCCUUUAGAACAGGGACUGUGUUUUGUGCAUAGUUAUCUUGAUUUCCCAGUAAAAGUCCCAGUAGAAAAU